GAGUCCUUCUGCCAUGGCUUCAGCCCACUGUACAAUUUCAAACUGGGGCUGAGUAGCAAUUUACCGUGAAUAUUACAGUUGAGCCUCUGCUGUUUAUAAAUUUUCCACCAGUGAAAUUAAAGUUCUGCAGACUUAAACUUCUUCAACUUUAUUAAAAGAUGGCAUUUUAGAAUUUCUUGGCUGUCUCCCAGUUUCCUGACUUGAAUUCCCAGGCAGAUUUCAUGUUGUCAGCUGCUGCCCACAAUUCUAAGGGAAGGGGAGAAAAGGCAACAUUUUUGUUGGUGGCUUGAAGGAUCCUUUCUCUUCUGAGAAGUCCCAUACCUCAUUCAGUGUCCUCUCUUUUCCUGUGAAUUAUACUUCUUCUAACACAUUUUGGGACAUUCGAUUCUUUACUACCACCAGAGUAUUUUUUAUUAAUUUGGUGCUUCUUGUCAAAGUUUGCUGUUCCUCUUUCAACACCAACGUCCUGUUAGUGGGUGAUUUCUGAUCUGGUCAGCAUCGCUGCUUUGAAACUUUUUGGCAACUGAGAUGUGAAUUAACCAUUCCAAGUUGGAGUCUCAAUGCUUCAGAAAAUUUCAAAGCCACACACCAAUAAUGGAGCCUUUCAUGAAAUAUGCUUGCAGUUGUCCUCCUGGAUCCCACAGAGUUCAGAUGUUGAGCUCAGACCUCCUGGAGUGAUUUCUGUGACCUUGAUCGUGCUUCUUGAAUUGUUCAGAGAAGAAUGUAAUGUUUUAUGUUCAUAUCUGAGCGUAUUAACAGCAGACCAAAACAGAGAAACUUGGAGACUAGAGAACAGCACAUUAUAAUCCUAACCUGUGAGCUCUCUCAAAGUUGACUUUAGGAGAUAAAGAGAUAUUUUUACAAAGCAUGCUAAUUCAAACAAAUAUGGUUUUACUGAAGGGGCUUGGUGGGCCUGUAACUGUUGUUGCAUAAAGCAUGCAAACACUGGGUCAUGCAAUACAGACACAACUUGGCAGGCUCUUCCACCCCUGCACAGCCAAGAGCUGUUGCUGGCUCUGAAGUCCACCCGAGUUGCUGAUCGUGGCCCCCGAAGUAUGAGCUGUGAUUCUGCAGCUUCCACAUGGCUGGAAAUAUUUCACAACAUUUGGCUGUGAAAGGUGUUUUAAAAGAGGUGAACACAUUGCAAGGUCAUUCACUCCACUGAAUUUUAGGCACCUAAUUUGUCU
RNAcentral lists this long non-coding RNA (1187 nucleotides) under Coturnix japonica (Japanese quail). RNAcentral's name for it is "lncRNA (ENSCJPG00005013407.1)". The record is from RNAcentral. Lineage: Eukaryota; Metazoa; Chordata; Aves; Galliformes; Phasianidae.